AUUGAACGCUGGCGGCAUGCCUUACACAUGCAAGUCGAACGGCAGCACGGGUGCUUGCACCUGGUGGCGAGUGGCGAGCGGGUGAGUAAUACAUCGGAACAUGUCCUGUAGUGGGGGAUAGCCCGGCGAAAGCCGGAUUAAUACCGCAUACGAUCUACGGAUGAAAGCGGGGGACCUUCGGGCCUCGCGCUAUAGGGUUGGCCGAUGGCUGAUUAGCUAGUUGGUGGGGUAAAGGCCUACCAAGGCGACGAUCAGUAGCUGGUCUGAGAGGACGACCAGCCACACUGGGACUGAGACACGGCCCAGACUCCUACGGGAGGCAGCAAUGGGGAAUUUUGGACAAUGGGCGAAAGCCUGAUCCAGCAAUGCCGCGUGUGUGAAGAAGGCCUUCGGGUUGUAAAGCACUUUUGUCCGGAAAGAAAUCCUUGGCCCUAAUACGGUCGGGGGAUGACGGUACCGGAAGAAUAAGCACCGGCUAACUACGUG
RNAcentral lists this ribosomal RNA (486 nucleotides) under uncultured bacterium. RNAcentral describes it as "partial 16S ribosomal RNA". It matches the Rfam family "Bacterial small subunit ribosomal RNA", at positions 30 to 507 of the family's 1533-position model. The record is from RNAcentral.